GUGCUCGUUUUGGCAGCACAUAUACUAAAAUUGGAACGAUACAGAGAAGAUUAGCAUGGCCCCUGUGCAAGGAUGACAUGCAAAUUCGUGAAGCAUUCCAUAUUUUA
Molecule: small nuclear RNA, 107 nt
Filed under: Castor canadensis (American beaver)
Lineage: Eukaryota; Metazoa; Chordata; Mammalia; Rodentia; Castoridae
Source: RNAcentral